UACGAAGGGGGGCUAGCGUUGCUCGGAAUUACUGGGCGUAAAGGGCGCGUAGGCGGAUAUUUAAGUUAGAGGUGAAAGCCCAGGGCUCAACCCUGGAAUAGCCUUUAAUACUGGAUAUCUUGAGUUCGGGAGAGGUGAGUGGAACUCCGAGUGUAGAGGUGAAAUUCGUAGAUAUUCGGAAGAACACCAGUGGCGAAGGCGACUCACUGGCCCGAUACUGACGCUGAGGCACGAAAGCGUGGGGAGCAAACAGG
This 254-nucleotide ribosomal RNA is filed under the name uncultured bacterium. RNAcentral describes it as "partial 16S ribosomal RNA". It matches the Rfam family "Bacterial small subunit ribosomal RNA", at positions 524 to 776 of the family's 1533-position model. The record is from RNAcentral.